UACGAAGGUCCCAAGCGUUAUCCGGAUUUAUUGGGUUUAAAGGGUGCGUAGGCGGGCUAUUAAGUCAGUGGUGAAAGCCCCAAGCUUAACUUGGGAACUGCCAUUGAUACUGAUGGUCUUGAGUACAUUUGAGGUGGGCGGAAUGUGUCAUGUAGCGGUGAAAUGCUUAGAUAUGACACAGAACACCGAUUGCGAAGGCAGCUCACUAAACUGUAACUGACGCUGAGGCACGAAAGCGCGGGGAGCAAACAGG
Molecule: ribosomal RNA, 253 nt
Filed under: uncultured bacterium
Lineage: Bacteria
Description: partial 16S ribosomal RNA
Rfam family: Bacterial small subunit ribosomal RNA
Source: RNAcentral